CAAAUGCAGCCCAAAAUCCAUGGCAAACAAGUCUUCUGGAUCAGACUGUUGUUGGUUAUCUGGUGUGGAGUAAGUGCACUUAGCAUGCUGACUUGCUCAUCAGUUUUGCACAGUGGCAAUUUUGGGACUGAUUUAGAACAGAAACUCCAUUGGAACCCCGAGGACAAAAUAUUGUCAAAAUAUGAAGAGCAUUGCGAUGGCAGAAGAGUUUUCUGAGAAAUUGACUCCCCUAAAUGGUUAUGUGCUUCACAUGAUCACUACUGCAGCA
This 268-nucleotide long non-coding RNA is filed under the name Homo sapiens (human). Its description in RNAcentral is "non-protein coding lnc-DENND2D-2:6". The record is from RNAcentral. Lineage: Eukaryota; Metazoa; Chordata; Mammalia; Primates; Hominidae.